UCCAGACUCCUACGGGAGGCAGCAGUGAGGAAUAUUGGUCAAUGGGCGGGAGCCUGAACCAGCCAAGCCGCGUGAAGGAAGAAGGCGCCAGGCGUCGUAAACUUCUCUUGUCGGGGAACAAAGGGCGCCACGUGUGGCGUUGUGAGUGUACCCGAAGAAAAAGCAUCGGCUAACUCCGUGCCAGCAGCCGCGGUAAUACGGAGGAUGCGAGCGUUAUCCGGAUUUAUUGGGUUUAAAGGGUGCGUAGGCGGAGUGUCAAGUCAGCGGUAAAAUUUCGGGGCUCAACCCCGUCGUGCCGUUGAAACUGACGCCCUUGAGUGAGUGAGAAGUAAGCGGAAUGCGUGGUGUAGCGGUGAAAUGCAUAGAUAUCACGCAGAACGCCGAUUGCGAAGGCAGCUUACCGGCGCUCAACUGACGCUGAGGCACGAAAGUGCGGGUAUCGAACAGGAUUAGAUACCCGCGUAC
This 465-nucleotide ribosomal RNA is filed under the name uncultured bacterium. RNAcentral describes it as "bacterial SSU rRNA". It matches the Rfam family "Bacterial small subunit ribosomal RNA", at positions 330 to 793 of the family's 1533-position model. The record is from RNAcentral.